GAUGAACGCUGGCGGCGUGCCUAAUACAUGCAAGUCGAGCGAACAGACGAGGAGCUUGCUCCUCUGACGUUAGCGGCGGACGGGUGAGUAACACGUGGAUAACCUACCUAUAAGACUGGGAUAACUUCGGGAAACCGGAUCUAAUACCGGAUAAUAUAUUGAACCGCAUGGUUCAAUAGUGAAAGACGGUUUUGCUGUCACUUAUAGAUGGAUCCGCGCCGCAUUAGCUAGUUGGUAAGGUAACGGCUUACCAAGGCGACGAUGCGUAGCCGACCUGAGAGGGUGAUCGGCCACACUGGAACUGAGACACGGUCCAGACUACUACGGGAGGCAGCAGUAGGGAAUCUUCCGCAAUGGGCGAAAGCCUGACGGAGCAACGCCGCGUGAGUGAUGAAGGUCUUCGGAUCGUAAAACUCUGUUAUUAGGGAAGAACAAAUGUGUAAGUAACUAUGCACGUCUUGACGGUACCUAAUCAGAAAGCCACGGCUAACUACGUG
RNAcentral lists this ribosomal RNA (497 nucleotides) under uncultured bacterium. Its description in RNAcentral is "partial 16S ribosomal RNA". It matches the Rfam family "Bacterial small subunit ribosomal RNA", at positions 28 to 507 of the family's 1533-position model. The record is from RNAcentral.